This 253-nucleotide ribosomal RNA is filed under the name uncultured bacterium. RNAcentral describes it as "partial 16S ribosomal RNA". It matches the Rfam family "Bacterial small subunit ribosomal RNA", at positions 524 to 776 of the family's 1533-position model. The record is from RNAcentral.
UACGUAGGUGGCAAGCGUUGUCCGGAUUUAUUGGGUUUAAAGGGUGCGUAGGCGGCCUAUUAAGUCAGUGCUGAAAUAUCCCGGCUUAACCGGGAGGGUGGCAUUGAUACUGAUGGGCUUGAGUGGAGUCGAGGUAGGCGGAAUUGACGGUGUAGCGGUGAAAUGCUUAGAUAUCGUCAAGAACACCGAUAGUGUAGACAGCUUACUAGGCUCAAACUGACGCUGAGGCACGAAAGUGUGGGGAUCAAACAGG